AGUCUAUGCACUGGUUUUGAUCAAUAUUUUAAUAUUGUGGAUAUUUUGAUCAAUAUCUAUACUGUAUAUAGUUCACAGAGGAACGCUCAAAAACAAACAAAGAGACAGUUUUUUUCAGUUGUUUGUUUACAUUCGAAAACCAGCAUGGCCGCUGCAGCAUGCAAGCCCCGCCCCUUUGUGUACCCUCAGAAGAGCUCUGCGCAUUCUAAACAGCUCCACAGACAGAAGCAGAUCAAGCACACUCCUGAAGCACUGUUUGCUGACUAUGACCGCAGUACAAUGACCAACCUGCUCUUCUACACUGAAAGCAGCUCCUUAUGGCAUACUGCUUUCUGCCAACACUUCACCUUCACCACAAAAAGAGGCAUCUGUAAAGGCCGACAGAUCCUGGUAUUUGAAGAUGCUGAAGGAAAUGAGGAAUCAAGAAUUUUAUCUCUGAACUUAUACCACAACGGCACUGUCAUGAUCCAAGGCUCGGAGCCUGCCCUCCAAGCAUUUACAGUGGACUUUAUACAAAUUAAACAGCAGGCACAUCUUAAUACAAGUUUCAUGCAGGAUCAUAAAGAUACAAAUACAAACUCUUCUCCUGUAAAAGACAUCCAAAAGACGACAACAACUGCAACAGCCUUAAUUCAAUCUCCCAUGUCAAAAAUGAAAGAGAAAUUUUCACUCCUGGAAAUAGAUAUGGUGGAACUAAAAGAAUUAAUAAUGUCCCAGCUAAAAGACAACAGCGACUUGGAGCAGCUUAAAAAGGACAUGAUGAAUUUAAAACAAGAGACUGAAAACCUGCAGAGAAACAAAGAACAGAUGUCAAAGGAGCUUCACCAAGCUAGAGAAGAGCUGAAGGAAUUCAAAUCAACUUUCAGAAGACAGAUAGCAGAAAUUAAAACAGAAAUGCAGGAAGAACUGUCUGUGUUGAAAUCAGAACUUCGAAAGAAGGAUGAACUUAUAAAUAAUAUGAAGGAACAACUUCUUCACGUGUCAUCAUCCAAAGCAUCUCACGCUAAACACCUGAGCUGUCUAGAG
Molecule: long non-coding RNA, 1026 nt
Filed under: Sinocyclocheilus grahami
Lineage: Eukaryota; Metazoa; Chordata; Actinopteri; Cypriniformes; Cyprinidae
Description: lncRNA (ENSSGRG00000009940.1)
Source: RNAcentral